UACGAAGGGGGCUAGCGUUGUUCGGAAUUACUGGGCGUAAAGCGCGCGCAGGCGGUCUUCCAAGUCAGUGGUGAAAGCCUGGAGCUCAACUCCAGAACUGCCAUUGAAACUGUUAGACUUGAGUACGAGAGAGGUGAGUGGAAUUCCCAGUGUAGAGGUGAAAUUCGUAGAUAUUGGGAAGAACACCAGUGGCGAAGGCGGCUCACUGGCUCGUAACUGACGCUCAGGCGCGACAGCGUGGGGAUCAAACAGA
This 253-nucleotide ribosomal RNA is filed under the name uncultured bacterium. Its description in RNAcentral is "partial 16S ribosomal RNA". It matches the Rfam family "Bacterial small subunit ribosomal RNA", at positions 524 to 776 of the family's 1533-position model. The record is from RNAcentral.